This 299-nucleotide ribosomal RNA is filed under the name uncultured Lactobacillus sp. Its description in RNAcentral is "partial 16S ribosomal RNA". It matches the Rfam family "Bacterial small subunit ribosomal RNA", at positions 496 to 795 of the family's 1533-position model. Lineage: Bacteria; Bacillati; Bacillota; Bacilli; Lactobacillales; Lactobacillaceae. The record is from RNAcentral.
CAUUAAGACGUGCCAGAGGGCGGAGUAAAAGUUAGAUCCCAAGCGUUAUCCGGAUUUAGUUGGCGUAAAUGGAGCGCAGGCGGUUAUUUAAAUCAGAUUGGAAAGCCUACGGCGCAACCGUAGAAUUGCAUCGGAAACUGGAUGACUUGAGUGCAGUAGAGGAGAGGGGAACUCCAUGUGUAGCGGUGAAAUGCGUAGAUAUAUGGAAGAACACCAGAGGCGAAGGCGGCUCUCUGGACUGUAACUGACGCUGAGGCUCGAAAGUGUGGGUAGCAAACAGGAUUAGAUACCCUAUAGUC